GGACCUGACUGCUAUCGGAUUGAUACUAAGCCAUGCGAGUCAUUGUAGCAAUACAAGGCAGACGGCUCAGUAACGCGUAGUCGACCUAACCUAUGGACGGGAAUAACCUCGGGAAACUGAGAAUAAUGCCCGAUAGAACACUAUACCUGGAAUGGUUUGUGUUCCAAAUGAUUUAUCGCCGUAGGAUGGGACUGCGGCCUAUCAGUUUGUUGGUGAGGUAAUGGCCCACCAAGACUAUUACAGGUACGGGCUCUGAGAGGAGUAGCCCGGAGAUGGGUACUGAGACACGGACCCAGGCCCUAUGGGGCGCAGCAGGCGAGAAAACUUUGCAAUGUGCGAAAGCACGACAAGGUUAAUCCGAGUGGUUUCUGCUAAAGGAACCUUUUGUCGGUCCUAGAAACACCGAUGAAUAAGGGGUGGGCAAGUUCUGGUGU
Molecule: ribosomal RNA, 434 nt
Filed under: uncultured archaeon
Lineage: Archaea
Description: bacterial SSU rRNA
Rfam family: Archaeal small subunit ribosomal RNA
Source: RNAcentral